This is a non-coding RNA of Camellia sinensis, 1779 nucleotides long. The record is from RefSeq and is a predicted model, not a curated record. NCBI's taxonomy places the organism in Eukaryota, Viridiplantae, Streptophyta, Magnoliopsida, Ericales, Theaceae.
GAGAUUGUAAUAUUAUUAUUAUUUAAUUAUUAACUUGAUUUGUAUACUCGCAUUCUCACAAAUUGAAUAUCAUAGUUCUCUUUGGCCAAAUCUCAAACUUUCUAUUUUUUGUAAUUGAUUUGUUUUAGAUUACGAUGUGGGUUUUCAGAGCUCUUGAUUUGGGUAUUAGAGAUCACGAUCUAGCUUUCAAAGCUCAUGAUUUGGGUUUCAGAGAUGACAAUCGGAGUUCUAGAACGCAUAAUCUGGGUAUCAGAGAUCUAGAAUACAUAAUCUAGGUUUCAGAUAUGCCAAUCUUUUCUCACGAUUGGAGUUGAAUUGGAGGCUUGACAAUCGGAGUUCAACCGGUGUGACAAUCGAAUCAUAUAGUUCUCUCUCAGAUCUAAAACUUCCUUUCUUUUGUUUUCAUUUAUUAAAUUGUUGUUGAUUUUUCCUAGAUUAUGAUAUGGGUUUCAAAAUUCCCGAUCUAGGUAUUAGAGGUCAUGAUCUGGCUUUCAAAUCUAUCGAUUUGGGUUUUGGAGAUGACAAUCAGAGCUUUAGAACGCACAAUCUGCGUAUCAGAGAUCUACAAUGCCAAUCUGAGUUUCAAAGAUGAUGACCUUUUCUCUCUCAUUCGGAUUUCUCAUGAUCGAAGUUCAACUUGAGGUGUAACAAUCUGAGUUCAACCAGUGUGAUGAUUGAAGCUCGCAGUUCUCUCUCUAUCAAGGCCCUCAAGCUUAAUAUGAAAGAACUGCAAGUUUCAACGUAGCCAACUCCAUGAAUCUGUAACAUAGGUUCUAAGUGAUGUUGAAAAUGACAAAUGGAAAGAACCCAUGUUAUUGAUUUAGGUAGGUUAGCUAAGUAAAUAUAGGUUACAAUCAAAUAUGGCUUACCAUUCAUAGGAGCAUAAAAUUAAAAUCUUCUAAUUUUUUAAAAUACCAGCCCAAACUCGUCUUAUUUAUUUAAAUAUCUAAGUAUAAUUCUUAUUCUAGUGCAAGCUCACAAGCCUAAUAUGAAGAACUUGCAAGGAUGAAAAUAACAACUGCAAGCUUCAAUAUAAACAACCACCUGAAUCAAUAACAUAGAUUCUAACUGAUGUUGAAUAUGAAAAUGGACUCUAUUUAAGUAGAGUUCAUUUAUCAUUACCAAUCUAUGGAGUGCAUUGUCAUUUUUUACAUCAGUUGGAACCUAUGUUAAUUUGUCAUUUUCAACAUUAGUCAGAACCUAUGUUAUUGAUUUAGGUAGUUUGGCUACAUCGAAGCUUGUAAUUCAUAUUUUCAUGUUCGCAAGUUCCAUCAUAUUAGGCUUGCAAGCUAGCACUAGAAUAAGAAUAAUAAUUAGAAAUUCAAAUAAAUUAGAUGAGUUUGGACUGAUAUUUUUAAAAAGUAGAAGACUUUAAUUUUAUGUUCAGGUGAGUAGUAAGCCAUAUUUUAUUGAAACCAUAUUUACUUAGCUAACCUACCUAAAUCAACAACAUGGGUUCUAAGUGAUGGAAUUGGCUACAUUGAAACUUGAUCAUGUGCUUGGGAUUUGUGCAAGGGCUAGAUAGAGCUCUCUUGCAUUUGUAACCUAUGGCCUCUUUUGUUUAUAGGUCGAGUGCCUUUAUUUUGUAAGGAUUAAUCACUUUUACUUGAUAUAAGCCUAAAGACAUUCUCUUUUGUUGUUCAAUAUUUUAUCUUGAAUUUCAUAUUGUAUAUUCACUUCACCUAGACAUUGAAUAUAUGAUGCAUGUAAUGAACAAACCUCGUGUACUGGAUGAUAUUCAUAUAAAUGAAUAAAAGAGGGAUAUUUUGAUUAUCUUUA